This 253-nucleotide ribosomal RNA is filed under the name uncultured bacterium. RNAcentral's name for it is "partial 16S ribosomal RNA". It matches the Rfam family "Bacterial small subunit ribosomal RNA", at positions 524 to 776 of the family's 1533-position model. The record is from RNAcentral.
UACGUAGGGUGCGAGCGUUGUCCGGAAUUAUUGGGCGUAAAGAGCUCGUAGGCGGUUUGUCGCGUCGGCUGUGAAAACCUGGGGCUUAACUCCGGGCCUGCAGCCGAUACGGGCAAGCUAGAGUUCGGCAGGGGAGACUGGAAUUCCUGGUGUAGCGGUGAAAUGCGUAGAGAUCCGGAGGAACACCAAAGGCGAAGGCAGUGUCCUGGGGAGUACCUGACGCUCAGGUGCGAAAGCCAGGGGAGCGAACGGG